AACGAACGCUGGCGGCAUGCCUAACACAUGCAAGUCGAACGAGACCUUCGGGUCUAGUGGCGCACGGGUGCGUAACGCGUGGGAACCUGCCCUUAGGUUCGGAAUAACUCCCCGAAAGGGGUGCUAAUACCGGAUAAUGUCUUCGCACCAAAGAUUUAUCGCCUUUGGCUGGGCCCGCGUUGGAUUAGCUAGUUGGUAGGGUAAAAGCCUACCAAGGCGACGAUCCAUAGCUGGUCUGAGAGGAUGAUCAGCCACACUGGGACUGAGACACGGCCCAGACUCCUACGGGAGGCAGCAGUGGGGAAUAUUGGACAAUGGGCGAAAGCCUGAUCCAGCAAUGCCGGGUGAGUGAUGAAGGCCUUAGGGUUGUAAAGCUCUUUUAGCCGGGAUGAUAAUGACAGUACCGGGAGAAGAAGCUCCGGCUAACUCCGUG
Molecule: ribosomal RNA, 433 nt
Filed under: uncultured bacterium
Lineage: Bacteria
Description: partial 16S ribosomal RNA
Rfam family: Bacterial small subunit ribosomal RNA
Source: RNAcentral